GUACUGCUAUUUAAGGGCCGCUGCUGCCGCCGUCCGUAGCAACGCAUAGGCCGCUUGCCCAGCUCCCUCAUUCCGAGCACGGCACCACGCGUCGGAGCUUGUCGGGAGGCACGGAAGGACGAACAGAGUUCUACCGGUGAUCCGUGUUGUCGUUGACGGUGUCAUAGGAUCUGCGGUGCACGUGGACAAGGCGAUGGGGCUGCCAACCUACCUCCUCUUCACCACAGCACAUGUGGAUUCUUGGGCUACCUCAACUUGGAUCAGCUUUUUCAAGAGGGGAUGCUUGCCAUUCAGAGAGUGUUCAGAAUAAUACUUUGCAAGGGACAGGAGCGCGAUGUCAAGCAGCAGUAGCAGGUUCUGCAGCUUCGACGACCCUGGUGAGUCCACGGUCGUGCUCAACUCCCGCCAGCAGGGCGCGAAGGAGUUUCCCCUUGAACCCCAUGACCUGAUUCUCAGGUUCGUAAUUUAGCCUAUUUUUGGCUGUUGAUCACUCCUUUGUUUCUUUGUACAUGUUCUGAUUAAUGGUGCUUUGGAACAGUUCAACAUGUAGUUUUUGAUGGGAUUUAGUAUUUUUGGGCUGUUGAGAUGGAACAGUUCAACACGGUCGUAAUUUUGGGCUGUUGAGGUGGGAUUUAGUACAAAUCUGGGGAGCUGAAGCUUAAGAAGUUACAGAAUGAGUUUGCCUCGUUUUUCACUCUAUAUAUUGAUUUUAUUGACUACAAAGAUUUUGUAUUUUCCAUCGUCAAAACAGGCUGCACUAUUCCUAAAUUUUAUGACUAAUGGAGCUGUAUGGUGCAAUCUAAGCUGGAGUACAACUUGUAUGCUUAUUUAUAUCCCUCCUAUUGCUAAUACGCAGGAAGAUAUUUAUCAUAUAUUUUUGUUGCCUCAUAAAAAAAUGAACCUAAUGUUCUUCCCUGAUAUACUAUUAGUCACGGUGUUGGCUAUUGUUAUUUGAAGUAUAGAUUGAAAUGCUUCAGAUAUUGUGCCUUAUGAAAGAACACACUUAUGUUAUGAAAUCAAACUUUCCAGUUUCUAAAAAGAUUAAGUGUCUGUUGGCUGCUAAUAAUUUUGUUUAUAAAUAAAUUAUAUUGUUGUUUAUUAUAUAUGCAGGUUGAUUUGAACAAUGUAUAAGGUCGCCACUGCUGGCCGAGUUGGAUACCCAUUUGUGGUCCUUUUUUCCUUGUUCUUGUUGUACAGAUGACAGUUCAUGGAUUUCUGAUAUGAUUGCUUCAGUGAUGAUUUUUGCAGAACCACAUGCCGAUGGUGCACUUGCCUUUGGAAUUAAAGAUUAGCUUACUACACUAACCAGAUAUCAUAUAUAAAUACUCUACUCUACAGCAGUAUGAAGGGAUUUCAGGGCUAGCAAAUAUGUUAAAGAUAGAUACAGAGAAAGGCGAUUAGGGGAGUGGAUUCCGAUAAUGAUGCGAAAAAAAUUCCUUUGGGUCGAACACAUACUCUUGAAAGAAAGCAAGAAGCUUCUUGGUAAUGGAGAUGGUUCUCUUAUAUUUGGCAGGAGUCAGAAAAAAUCCAGCAUGGAAAAACACCACAUUCAACAUGGUGUAAUUAUGAUGAUCUAAACGAGUAUUCCUGGACUUCUGAUUGUUUCUCACUGCCAUGACCAAUACGGGAUGAUGGUGGCUUCUUCAAAUAUGUGCAAGAUAUGUCCUCUUUAGCAUCACUGUAUUUUUGAAAACGUUAUAUCUGAAUUUAGAGUGCACUUCUGCAAAAAAAGAUUUUGUCCUGAUUACUAUUUCGAUUUUAUUUCUGUAGGCACUGUGAAAUGAUCGAAUGCCGCUAAUCAUUUUGGAGGUUUGUUGUAGGGUGCUCUACCAGGUCAUAAUAUGCACCCACACAAUUCAAGUUCAUAUUCUGGAAGGACAUUGACCAACGAACCUUGUAGUAAUGUUACAGGUCAUAAAAUUGUGUAUUCCUACUAACCAUCAUUGCAUGUGUGCAGUGGUUAGAGAUUUUGUAGUGGAUAAUCAAUUAUCUUUAUCUUCUUCUAACUCAAGGAAUCAUACUGCAACAUUUCCUCCAGUGCAGGCAAACUCGAAUGAUAGUUAGUAAACUUGAAAAUCUGGGUGAUGAAGCUGACUCAAUAGAUCCAGAUUUUGGCCGCUAAAGCUGGUAGUGCAUCCUUGUCUAUGGUGUGGACAGAGGGAGAAAGGAGGCAAUUAACUACAGUCUAAAUGUAAAAUAAAAUCGUCUGAAUUAAAAUAGAAUCUGAUAAAACAAAACAAAGGAGGUCAUUAACUAGAGAAUUAGGCUGGACUAGAUAUACAUAUUAUACUGUAUUUUCCCACUAAAAACAUCCAGCGGGGAGGCUGAUGCAGCACUAUCACGAAUUGUUCCAGCUCUUCCUGAAUCGAUAUGGUUUGUCGAUGUUGGGAUCCUCGACGGUGAUUAGCAACUGAAUCGUGGAUGGAAGUACACUUUACUUCAAAGGAUUGCACACAUAUGAAGCGGUUAUUGAUGAAGUCAUGGAAAAGGGACUUGCCAAUGCUACACAGUCAUGAAAUCUUUGUCUGUUUCACUCUUCUUCCAUACAUGAUGUGCAAGGUUCUUGGGAUGCUCGGUACUGUUGCCAGGAGGUACGAAAUGGUUUGAUCUGUCAAGCAUGGAUUGCUGAAGCACAAAAUACAAGGGGGUGCAUGAGGAGGCGAGAGCUGACGGCAACCAUUGGAGGAGGUCUGGUCGGUCGAAGAGUAAGGCGUCGGCAACUCCGGAGAGAUUUGGCUUGAGCAAAUGUCGAUGCUACUGCAAUGAGAAGACCCUUUUCUGUGAGCCCUAUCCCUCUCAUUUAGCGUCUCGAUUUUGGGUUCUUCUGCUCCCUGUUUCUCUGUUCAUUUGUGGUGAUGGAUAGAAAGCAUCCAUACUUCCAUAGGCAGAAGCUUGCACUUACCAAAUAGGCAUGUAAUUCAGGCAAUAGCUGAGCUCCCAGCCUCCUAAGACUGGCAUGGGCACAUCAAUAAGGGCAUGGAGCCCGUCAAAGAGGAGGUCGGAGCGGCGUUGGACCUGGAUCAACUCAUCUAAAUCAAGCGGCCGGCCUCGGCUGGGAGUCACCGACGCUCCACCUGGACGGCGUCGGCUGGGACAGCUCCACAUGCAAUGGCUGGCCGGGGACCAGACCUCGACAGGAACGUGUUGCCCUUUGAGCCGGUGCAGAGCGACAAGUUCGUAGCAUCGUUAUAGUUUUUUGCACAAAGAUAGACCCUGUAGUACUGAUCAGGUGAAACAGAUCGAUGUGGCACUGGUACUGAACUGAAGCAACAAUUUGUUCAACAAAA
Aegilops tauschii subsp. strangulata is the source of this 3287-nucleotide non-coding RNA. The record is from RefSeq and is a predicted model, not a curated record. NCBI's taxonomy places the organism in Eukaryota, Viridiplantae, Streptophyta, Magnoliopsida, Poales, Poaceae.